UACGUAGGGUCCAAGCGUUAUCCGGAUUUAUUGGGCGUAAAGCACAUGUAGGUGGUUUUGUAAGUCUUGUUUUAAAGCUCCGAGCUUAACUCGGAAUCUGGACGAGAUACUACAAGGCUAGUGGUCAGCAGGGGCAAACGGAAUUCCCAGUGUAGGAGUGAAAUCCGUUGAUAUUGGGAGGAACACCAAUGGCGAAGGCAGUUUGCUAGGCUGAUUCAGACACUGAGAUGUGAAAGCGUGGGGAGCGAAC
Molecule: ribosomal RNA, 250 nt
Filed under: uncultured bacterium
Lineage: Bacteria
Description: partial 16S ribosomal RNA
Rfam family: Bacterial small subunit ribosomal RNA
Source: RNAcentral